This 253-nucleotide ribosomal RNA is filed under the name uncultured bacterium. RNAcentral's name for it is "partial 16S ribosomal RNA". It matches the Rfam family "Bacterial small subunit ribosomal RNA", at positions 524 to 776 of the family's 1533-position model. The record is from RNAcentral.
UACGGAGGGGGCUAGCGUUGUUCGGAAUUACUGGGCGUAAAGCGCGCGUAGGCGGCUUUGUAAGUUAGAGGUGAAAGCCCGGAGCUCAACCCCGGAACUGCCUUUGAAACUAGAUUGCUAGAAUCCUGGAGAGGUGAGUGGAAUUCCGAGUGUAGAGGUGAAAUUCGUAGAUAUUCGGAAGAACACCAGUGGCGAAGGCGACUCACUGGACAGGUAUUGACGCUGAGGUGCGAAAGCGUGGGGAGCAAACAGG